This 915-nucleotide long non-coding RNA is filed under the name Mus pahari (shrew mouse). RNAcentral describes it as "lncRNA (MGP_PahariEiJ_G0005258.1)". Lineage: Eukaryota; Metazoa; Chordata; Mammalia; Rodentia; Muridae. The record is from RNAcentral.
AUAAGGCUAUGCAGUCUCCAAAGCGUGAUCUGGGAUGAAGCUCCAUGAGAGUAAACGGAAUACCAGUUGGUGGAAAAUAACAAGAUAAAAACCUACAAGCAGACAUAGUCAUUGUAAAAUCCUGCAUGUCCAGAUGCAGAAAAGUCUCCGAAGGAAGGAGAAAAGGCCAACUUAAUUGUGAUCAAUGAUCUCCACUUAAAAGACUAUUGGAUGACUUGUGGUAUUGUAUUUUCGGUAGCUUCUUCCUGUAAAGAAGUCCAGGUCAAAGCCACAAGAGAGGCCCAGGAGGAAAUGCAGUCCAAAGCAUUUAAAAAAUGAAUUUCUUUUCUUCUGACAUGAAAUUUCCUUCUUAAACUGCCAUUUCUGUGAGGUCAAUGAUAUGAACUUGUCCGGUCUUGGAUGGGCUGCGUGAGUUCAUAGCUGCUGGGCUGGGCUCAGUUAACAGAUAAAAGUGAAACUCCCAGGUUCCCUGCUAUCUUCAGUGUCUACAGGCAACCAAGAAACGCUUCUAGAAGCAGUAGCUGUCUUCUUAGAUGAAACCUUUCCUACCUCGAAUGGAAAGAGUAUAUGACUCUCUCCUUUGGGCUUAAUUUAUAAAUAUCUUGAACACACUAUGUUGUCAGAGGAGUUUUUCAAUUUUAAGUGACUAGAAAUAAAACUCAAAAUAAUUGAAUGAAAACAAGUCUCAUUUGUAGGGUCUCGGGGCGUUAAGAUCUCAGGUCUCUAUCAUCUUCAUUUUGUCUUCAGAUCUCAGUUUGUUCUGGUGGCAAAUGGCUGCCAGCCUCAACCUCAGUUUCCACCCGUGUAGGAAAAUAAAGUCUUUUGGUUAGAAAAUGACGGAGAAAAUGUUGAGAUUUACUCUACCUUUCCCUUUUCCAGCUGACUGUGUCACUAGAAUGAAAGGAAACUGUCUGG